AUCAGAUCUUUUGUAUCGAAAAUACUUGUUUAUUCUCCAAUUUUUGUUAACAUUUGAUGCAAGUACCGUUUGUUUGAUCAGUAAAGACACUUUCCACUGGAGGUGUACUUUCUAUCUAAUUUAUGAAACUUCUAUCCCCUGAAUGCCUUUAUACUCUUUGGCUAUGAAAUAUCUUUUAUUGGAAGGAGUCUCGUGACCAGACAUUUGUGGCAGGAUCAUAUUGUAGCUGUGUAGGUGUGGUCAUUAACAAGGUAAUUGAAACUAAAGAUGUCAUCACUUCCUUAGAACUAGUCAUUACAAUUGCUAUAACUGUGGGUACGAAACUUUUUUUUAUAGUUUUAAAACUUAUUUGAUGUGGUCAGAAAAUUGGUUAUAAAGCUGUUAGGUAUCAGGUGGCUAGUAUUGUAUUUCAUGGUUGGAGCAUCGUCGACAUUUGUAGACAUUGUAUGCAAGACAAUUUGUGGUUAGUGAAGCGUGGUUAGUAGCAAUUGUGGACAAUUUCUUCUUAUGAGGACGUCUUUUAUAAUUAGUCACCUGAAUAUCUGAAAAGCUUCAAAGGUCCACAAGAUAGUAUCUUUAAUUUUGCAAUCGUCAGAGAAAGAAGCAAUACCUUUGUCGGUGUGAGCUCACGGCAAGCUCCAAGCUUAAGUCUCUUCAGGUUACGACAUCAGGGAGAUAUAAUGGCUAACGUGUCGUCGUUGAUGCUCACGGAUCUACAGUCGCCUUUGAAUGAAAGCUUCAAGCGAAUUAAUAAAAGAGAGAAGUGAUGGAUGUCAUCAGAGAGAGAGAGAGAGAGAGAGUACAAAGUAGGUCGAAAUGUAAAUGAAAGUUAAAAAUUAACCUUCAAUGUAAUAUUUUCGAGAUCAAAUGAUGGGAGACACUCUUUCAUGUGUUGCAUUGUUUCAAUACAAUAAAGUCAGC
RNAcentral lists this long non-coding RNA (921 nucleotides) under Brassica napus (rape). RNAcentral's name for it is "long non-coding RNA (BNAP_LNC021486)". Lineage: Eukaryota; Viridiplantae; Streptophyta; Magnoliopsida; Brassicales; Brassicaceae. The record is from RNAcentral.